GAGGUAUGAGGAAGACAUCUGAACAGUCUGAUUAUCACUGAAGACUGUAAGAUCCAACUCUGACCUCAAAAAAGCC
This is a small nucleolar RNA of Manis pentadactyla (Chinese pangolin), 76 nucleotides long. RefSeq annotates it as small nucleolar RNA SNORD19. The transcript has a single exon. The record is from RefSeq and is a predicted model, not a curated record. NCBI's taxonomy places the organism in Eukaryota, Metazoa, Chordata, Mammalia, Pholidota, Manidae.